Chelonia mydas (Green sea turtle) is the source of this 15736-nucleotide long non-coding RNA. RefSeq lists it as uncharacterized. The transcript has 3 exons. The record is from RefSeq and is a predicted model, not a curated record. NCBI's taxonomy places the organism in Eukaryota, Metazoa, Chordata, Testudines, Cheloniidae.
GUGACGGAUGGCUUUGCCUCUGUGACAUCCGGGUACUGUGGAAUUCUGAGAGCGGAGCGGAGUUCUAAUCGCACAGCGGCAGCUGCUGGGCGGCGGGGUAGGGAUGGAGAACCUGCGGGCCGCGUGCCUGCAGAAUGGGAGUGGAGCCAGGGAGUGGUAUACACACACGUUACCCUUCCAGGCAGGCUCUGGAAAUCAUGACACUAGGGUAGCCAGCCUGGGUCGGACCUGUUGCUGGAGUUUCCUCACAGGACAUAAUCUUUAAUUAAAGAAUCUUGAAUUCCUGGAGACUCCAGGACAGAAUCCUUGGGGGUUGGCAACCCUAUGAUCAGGUCACAAGUAUUGCCUCACACCAGCCUGAGUCAGGCCCUGGUCCCCUCCCCGUCACAAGUGGCUUAAAAACACCAUGAUUUUAUCCAGCAAUGUUGGGUGCUGGACUCUUUUUCUUUGCCAUCUGGGGUCUGAGAGCCUUUAAGGGGUGCACACGCUCCGGCUUUUCUCCACAGCUCUGACAAUUAGAAAUUUAAUAUUUUUUUAAAAAAAUGAACACAGUCUCCCCCUAAUCCCUUGUCUGAAGGAGUUGGGAUUUUAAGAAAAAUCAUACAGUGCGAAACUCACCCAGAAAUCAAGUGGGCUGGCAUCCCUGAGGUUUUUGGCUAUAGUCUUCUGAUCUUCAAAUUCAGUGAGAAGUUGCCCCUGAAACACACACAUGCAGCUGCAGUGCACUUUGAACAUCUGAGGGGAGAGGGGUAUAAAAUGUACUCACAAACACUGGAGUCUGCCUGUGCCUCAGCGGUGAGAGGGGCAUGCUCCCUUUUCUGCCUCUAAAAUCCUCACCACAUAGGGUUGCCAGUUUUGGUUGGACAUAUUCCUGGAAGUUUCAUCACAUGACAAUCUUUAAUUAAAAGAUUAAUCUUUAAUUCCUGGGACUCCUGGACAAUCCUGGAGGGUUGGCAACACUACUCCCAUGCCAGUUCUAUUCUGAAAACAUUCUCCCCAGUACCUCCCUGUCUCCCAAUGCUGCCCUGAAUCGUACACCCCUGCCCACAUAUGGAAUCCAGCAAGCAUGGGGAGCUUUCAUAGCCCUUGAGAUCAGACAGGACCAUUAGAUCAUAUUGUCUGAUCUUCUGUCUAAUCCAAGCCACAGAAUUUCAUCCAGUUACCCCACCAUUGAGCUUAGCAUUUGACUAAAGCAUACCUUCCAGAAAGGUCUUGCUGGUGACCCCCCAUGUCUCUUGGUAGUGGGUUUCAAUAGUUAAUCACCCUCACUAUUAAAUAUGUCUCCCUUAUUUCUAAUUUGAAUUUGUUCAUCUUCUAACCUUUGGUUCUUGUUAUGCCUUUCUCCAUUAGGUUAAAGAGCCCGUUAGUACCCAAACUAAAGGGGUAUAUUGUAAUCAAGUCGCUUCUCAGUCUUCUUUUUGAUAAAUAGCUUGACUUCCUUAAGUCUUACUGUAUGGCAUUUUCUCUAGCCUUCAAAUAAUUUCAGGCUCUUUUCUGCACCAUCUCCAAUUUUUAACAUCCUUUUUAAACUGUGAACAGAAGUGUACGCAGUAUUCAGUAUCCAUUCCAUAUCCAAUUCCAUAUAGAGUGGUAAAUCCACCUCCUUACUAAUCUUCAUACAUCCAAGGACUUCAUUAGCCCUUUUUGCCAUUCCAUCGCACGAGGAGCUCAUGUUUAGAGCCCUGCAUGGAUACAAAAUGUGUGUCUGCAUCCAAUACGCAAACAUAGUCCACGGAUGCGGAUAUAAAGCAGAUAUCCACAGAGUAGAGCAGUGCUCUACUCAUAUUGAGUUGCUAUCUACUGCAUCCCCUACAUCUUUUUCAGAGUCACCGCUUUCCAGGAUAGUCACCCAUUCUGUAGGGAUGGUCUGCAUUCCUUGUUCCUACAUUUGGCUGUAUUAAAAUUCAAAUUAUUUGAAUGCAGUUUAUCAAGCAACCCAGCUUGCUCUGUAUGACUGCUGUGUCCUCAUGAUUAUUUACCAUUUCACCAAUCUUUGUGUCAGAUACCAAUUUUAACAGCAGUGAUUUUAUAUUUACUUCCAUAUCGUUGAUGAAAUGUUGAAUAGUGUCAGGUCAACUACCAGUCCCUGCAGAUCCCCACUCCCAUUCAGUGAUGGUUCCUCAUUGACCAUAACUUUUUGAGAUCUGUCCAUUAGCUAGUUCUUAAUCUAUUUAAUAUAGCUCCAUAAAAUAACAAUGAAGCCUAUUUUUAACCAGAAUGUCAUGUAGUACUAAGUCAAGCACCUUACAGAACUCUAAUUAUAUUACACCUAGACUGAUGGCUUUAUCAACAAAAUUUGUAAUCUCAAAGAAUGAAAUCAGAUUUGUCUGAAUGUAAUCAGGGCUUCUUUCCAGCAAGCUGAGUUUGCAAAGAGUACACUUAGUUCCUUUUCUUCCCCUGCUCUGCCAAUAGAUCACAUUUGGUGUUUAGCCCACUCCAGCUUGGUGAAAUGAGGGAAAAGGGUUUGAGUUGUUGCUACCCUUGCAUUGGAUGCCUCUGGGUUGAUUCCUUGCCACUGCCCACUCUACACAUAAGAAAGGCAAAGAGCAGCAGUGGCCUCUGGUGGCUGUAGGCUAGAACUGUGCUAAUGUUGCCAAUAUCUGCAGUAGUAAACCACAUACAUUAGCCAGUGAUAUGGCAGCUGUUUACAACAAGCAUCUGCUAACUGGACUGAGAAAAAACACAAGAGGUGACAACUGCAUAUGUUCAUUACCCUGAAGCUAUUAGCCUAUAUCACAUCUUGCCACAUUGCCAUGGAUCCCUUUUGAAAACAACUGCACUUCUCUUUUGGUUGUUUUCAAACGUCUCAGGCUCAAGCGCAGAAUAUUAACACAUAAGAAAGAGAAAGAGCUAAGACACUGCCACAUUUAGGCUUUAUUACUUCCUCUACGUAUGCACAGUCUUCUCUCAUUGAGCACUUCCUGAAAAUAGAGUUCUCAAUGAGUAUGUCUACACAGCAGCUGGUAGAUGUAAUUCCCAGCUGAGGUAGAUGUACAUGCACUAACUCUGCUCAAGUUAGCACCAAAAAAUAGUAGUGAGGCUGUGGUGGCAAGGGUAGUGUCUUGGGCUACCCACCCAAGUACGUAGCCAGGGGGUCAGGAGGGAUAAUACUCAAAUGGCAGCUCAGAUAGCCGCUCAUGUUGCUACACCCAUACUGCUAUUUUGAGGCAGUAGCUCAAGCAGAGUUAGCAUAUAUACCAGGGGGUGGCCAACCCGUGGCUUGUGAGCUGCAUAUAGCUCUUUGACAGUUAAAGUGCGGCUCUCAGAGCCCCCCGUGCACCCCUAUUCUCGGCCUGCCAGACUGGUCGGGGGCAGCUCGGGGCUUCUGCCUGCAGCGGGGUGGUUGGGCAAGGGGCUUCUUCUGUUCAUCAGGGAGGGGGGAUCUCGGGGCUUCAACCCCAUGGGGCACGCUUGCUGGGGCUCAGGGCUUCAGCAGGAGUGGGGCUGAAGUCCCAAGCCCCAGUCGGCACCUCCCAUGGGGCUGAAGCCCCGAGACCCCCGCAGCCCAGGGCAGAAGCUCCUAGCCCCACCACCCCACCGCAGGGCUGAAGCCGGGAGCCCCAGCAGGUGCACCCUGGCUCUUGAACUUCUGAAGGUUGUCGUAUAUGUCUCGGAGGCUCAGGAAGUUUAGCCACCCCUGACAUAUACAUUUACCUGAGUGCGAAUUACACCUCCUAGCUUCCAUGUAGAUAUGCCCUAUGACAUUACCCUAUAUCUAGGCAUACUUAUCAUACUGUAAACACCCCUUACUAGGAAACUAUCUAUUAUAACACAGACCGUAAGCACAGAAUGGUUUAAAAGAAAAUUUGCUUUUAAAUAUAUUAAUGAACUCUAUGUGGUUGCAUUAGCAACAGAAACUUGUUAAAGGUUGCAGACUAUAGGCCUGAGCCUAUACCACUGAAGUCUAUAGGAGUGUUGUUUUUUCUUCAUAGACUUCAAUAGGAGCAGGAUCACAAUCCUCUGUUCUCAGUGCACUCUGCAUGAAAGUUGGAGGGGAACUGGAUUAUUGCUGCAUUAUUCUACCGUGGAGGAGUGGAAGAUACUUGCUAGCAUCAGAAGCUGGAAUGAGCAGCUGUAAGAAAAGUCCUGUACAGCUCCAACUUGAAGCAUGCUCAUUGUGGACAGAAUCUUCAGAGAAUUUAGCUGCAAAACUCUAACAGGUGUCUACUGAGCAUGUGUGAAUUGUGGUUUCCAGAGACUCAUAAUUUGGCUAAGUGUGGGUGGAUUUUCUGGGGGGACAUUAAAAGGCACAUCCCUCCAUGAGUAGUGUGACACACACACGCGCUAAAUUUCAAAUCCCUGCUCCAAAGCAUGGAGGCACUAGCGCUUUUCUGUGAAACAGUUGUAUGAAUUUUUUUAAAAACAUAGACUAAACAAUGUAUUACUCCCUAAUUUCAUUCUUCAGUACCACUGAAGCAUUUUUCCCUGAAAAUUAAAAAAAAAGUUUCUGGCAGACACCUACCCAUGAAACAUUUCGGACCAAACAGUUAAAAUUUGGCAAAAAUUAUAAGCAACUGAAGACAGGGUCUCAUAACAGGAAAUGAUAGGCAACCUUACUGUAGGUACACUAUCAUUUCUGCCUCUAUGAAUAAGAAUGAAAAUAAUCUGGUUAAGAAGUUUCAACCCCAUCCAUUAAUUCCUUCAAUUCUAUCUCAAAAAUAAGGAGCUUUAAUAUCAGAAACUGCUUUUCAGGUAUUGUUGUUGCAUGUAUAUUUAUUUAACUAGAGUCAACUUGGAAUGGCUGUAGUCUAAUCAACUCCUUGUCUGCUUCCUCCACCAGCAGCAGAACUAGCACGUCAGAAAACAUGGCUAUCAUUUGUGAAGGCAAGUGCCAAACUGCAAACAGUUUUAAUUCACACUACUGAAAGCAGUGACUGUAUAUGCAAAAUAUGACAUCUGAGAAGUAUAUAACAUUUGCCUUGUAGAAGGACUUGCCAAGUAAGAGAGGAGAUAAAUAAGCAACUAGACUAAUGGAAAUAACAGACUUAAAACUGAAAGGGACAGAGACCAAACAGAAUACAGUACCUAAGAUAUAUUUGAAGAAGUGUACUAAGAAUGGAAAACAUCUAGCAGAGAGAGUCAGUGAAGUAUGUGGCAAUACAUUUAAUUAUCUGGAGAGCUGGUUGAACAAGUUGUAAGAAGUUAGUGAAAUGAAUAAUAAUUAGAAACACCUGAUAACUAGUAAAAUAGUGUUUAGAGGGAAAAAAUAGAAUCUUGCAGUGCUAUUAUCUUAUUAUCUUAUGCUAUUAUCUUGGACUCCCUCUGGGUGUUGUCUUCUGUUCUAUUUUCAUUCCAUCACCUCCAGCCACCUACUUCUAUGCUGGAUGCAAGCAGAUGUUCUUAGAAAUGUAGAUCUCUGGAGCUGCCUGUGAUAGUCUGUCCACUUUUUUUCCCCCUCUCAGUUGCAACUUUCCCAGCCCCCACAUUGUCAGGAUAUUUAGCCUUCAUUAGCUGAGAUAGAUGCUUGUGAACUUUUCUGCCUAAUUGUCAAAAAGAUUUUCUUUUUUUAAAGGUAGUGGUAGUCAUAGUUGGGACAGUUACAGGCAUAUGCUAUAACAGAUCAAAUAAGAAGUAAAAAUCUUGAUCAAGCCAGAGGACACAUGAGAGAAGUACUACCUGAGUUUUCAUUAAACAGAUCUGCUGUAUAUAUAGAUUCUUAUGUGUGUAUGAGGGAUUCAAAGGAGCUGCAAAGAAGCCACAUUUUCCCACCUGAAAAUUCCCUUGUCACAGGGAAAUGCUCAGCUGAUGCUAAUCUGAUUUAGUGAACCCCAUCCCCACCCCCAGCUCCCGCUCUUGUGCAGGUGGGGAAGCAAAACUGCAGGACAGUACCCUUCAGCUAUACCCAGCUGGUGUGCAUUAAAAUCACCUCCACCAGGGUUUAGGGUGAGGUCAAUCUGCCCUGAGAAUUAUGGAGCCGUAACUACCCUCAUCUCUUCCUCUUUCUUUGCUGUGCCAAAUGAAUCUGAGCCCCAGUCCAUAUUAGAUACUCAUAUGGCCUCAUUACAGUAAUAUCUUAGUACCUCACAAUCUUUAAUGUAUUUUAUCCUCACAACCCCCUGUGAGAUAGGGAAGUGUUAUUAUCCUCAUUUCAUAGGUAGGGAACUGAGGUACAGAGAGAUUAAGCGACUUGCCCAAGGUGACACAGGAAGUCUGUAAUGGAGCAGGGAAUUGAACCCCAUUCUCCUGUGUUCCAACUUAGUGCCCUAACUAUUGGACAAUCUGAUAUAACUGGCUGAGGAAAGGUAUCAAACAGCAUCAUCUGUUGUCCCUCGAUGUAGUUGCAAUCCAAGAUUCUAUAUGGCUGGAGCUGAUUAAAGUACAAAAGAAACAGGCUACACCUUAAAAUGCUUAUAACCCUUGCUGAAUUGCCAUGGGAAUCUUAUAACUGUGGUGCUGGCAAACCAGCUAACCUGUACAUGAUCCUUAGAGGCUUAACAAGUGGCACUGCAGUUGUAAUCAGGACAAUUCACUUGUGUGUGGGUAUCAAAGAAAUGUUAAGUAGACCAGCAAGCACUAUCCCAUUCAUUUGUAGUAAUAGGAAUCAAGAGUAGAUGCUAAAUGUGUUUGUCUGUGUACCUAUGUCUUGUUUGAAGUUUACCAAUGUCAUCAAAUUAGCUUUUAGAUGCUAAAUCCUUUUUAUGUCUUAAUUGUCUUUACAUUAUAUAUGCGGCUCUGUUCAGUCAACCUUAAGAUCAAAGAUGUAUAAACACUGCAUGAACUAAUGAUAUUACUUAUAUUGUCUUCAGCUUAUCUAUCCCUAUUAUAACAAGUGACCAGCAAUUGCCUUAUGUAAAUCAGUGUAGAGGAAUUACCUGUGUAUGCAUAGGAAAUGUUAUGUUAACUUAAAAGGAUGGGUCCUUGUGGGCUCAAUAAAGAGGAAUCUUUGAACACGUGUAGUGCUCAAGAAACUUGGUAGCUUGUUUCAACUAUAAAAGAGAGGCAUUGGGUAUGAUCCUGUAAUCUCUAGUCUGCUGAACUUUUAAACAGGGAAAGUUUAAGCCAUUAAAUGGAGAUCUCCAAGUAACUACUUGGAUUGUUCUGGAUAAUUCAUGGAAGGUCUCUAACAGACUCUACAUCUAAGAUGUUCUUUGGACUCUAAUCUUUUUUGGGUGAUCCAGAGAGACUUAUUGCAAGCUAGCAGAUUUAACAUCACUGCUAUUAUCCGGAUCUACAAACUCUGAAAUUAACUGUAAUGUAUAUGAUUCAUUUUAACCUCUUAAUAACUCUUCCUUUUUUAUUUUAAUAAAGAUUUUAUGUUUUAGUUAUUAAAGGAUUGGUUAUCAGUGUGAUUUGGGGGUAAAAUCUGAAAUAUAUUUUAACCUGGGGUGUGUUUGAGCCUUUGUGAUUGGAAGAACUUUAUAUGUGAUUUCUGUUUUUAAUAAUUAUUUAUCACAGAAAUCUGGUUGUCUGGGUGGUAAACCAGGGACUGGGAUGCCUAAGGGGACUGUGUUUGGGCUUCUUGUUAACCAGUGGUGAUCCAGGAGCUCACUUUUGUUACUGGCUUGGUGAAAUCUAAUUCUAGAAUAAGCCACCAGUUUUGGAUUGUUUCUUACAGUCUGCCCUGAAUUUGGCCUUCUCAGGGGUGACCCAUACCAGCAUGACAGUAACAAAGGGAGUCACCUCACCAAUAUAGUGAAGGGAGAUACCCUGUUGAGAAGAGGCUAUUGAAGAGGAAUUACAUCCUUUAGAAUUUGAUAAUCCAAGUGAAUUAAACUGGACAAAAUCUUCAGUGUCAGGCAUUUCCACUUCUGAAGCCCCAGCUUCCAAGGCAUGAAUGUCUAUUGACUUCCUCCACAAAUGAUUUUCAACACUGUUAAAAUUAUAGAUUUGGGGUACUUCUGGUGGAUGAAAUAAAAAAAAAAUCUGGUCUCAGGUUUUGACUCUUGUGGAUUUUUAUUCUGUUGAAGCUAAAAAUUCAUAACUUAAUUUUGGAUUUUCAGUUCUACUAUACUAGUUACAAUAAAGAAUACUUGUGGUAAGAACUUUUUAUGAGCCAUAGUACAAUGUAAUAUUGUGUAUGAUAUCCACAUGUCCAAGAAUGAAUAUCACAGGAUAGAAGUGCAGGAACAGUUAGGGUUAGAUUAAUUCAAUUUAAACUAUUUCUCUCCCCCUACCUCCCAGUUGGGUCUUGGGAUAGAUGCAAAAUUAAAUUCCUGGCUAUUUGCCACUAGAAUUUAUCUUGGAAGACAUUAGCAGAAGGAUUCUGUCCCUACUAUGGAAGAGUGUAUGGAGCCCCUGGGUACUUGUCUUUCAAUGAGCAAAACUGUGUAUAUGAUAAGUAGAUAGAAGAAGGCUGUGUCAGUGGUUAGACUACUGGCUUUUGACCUAGGAGACCUGUGUUCAAUUCCCUGCUCUCUCACAGACUGCCUGUGAGAGUUUAGGCAGUCAUUUAGUCUUUCUGUGCUUCAGUUUCUCAUCUGUAAAAUGGGGAUAAUUGUACUUCUCUACCUCACAGGGAUGUUGUGAGGAUAAUGAUUGUGAGUGAUCGGAUGCUGUCGUGAUGGGGGUUCUUCUAUCUAUUUAUUAUAUAUAUAUAUAUCUCCCAAAAUACAGGACUCUGACAUAGGUACUAUAUAAUGCUGAACAGUAUUAGAGUUAGUAUGGAAAUCAAGAAUAUUGUCUUUCACCAUUCUUGUAUGAAGACUGUGCAGAAUUAUUGUAGCUACUACAACAUUCAGCUUUAAAACUCUGAAGUCCUACUGAAUGCUUCUAUGCAUUGCACAUUGCAAUGGCCAAGUCACUCCUCUUUAAGUCCUUAGUAGCUUUUCCUUGUCCAAACUACAAUGUGUCAUGUUUGAGCUUCUUUACUACAUCUUUAAAGCCUUUCACAACUCUGUUCCUCCCUAGUUAUCUGCUCUAUCACCCCUCAACACAUACCCCACCAACGAUGCCAACCUGAAUGGCAACACUCUGCUUCACCCACAAGUAUGUGUGUGUGCUUCUUUCCGUGUUUAUGUAUGGCAUGCUCGUCCUGAACCACUCCAUAAAGUUACUAACCUGUCCUUCAGUUCUUCUUAAGAACUUCUCCUACAAUUAUGUCUGCAGGAGAUCAACUGAUAAUGGCUAAGCAGAAAAACAGUGAAGAUUGCUGAUAUUUAAAACAAAGAUUUUAUAGUAUACAGAAUUAUGAACGUAUGCAAAAAGUAAAUGCAUAAUCUGUAUUUAUUUCCUGUUAUUGUUAAUCUGAUCCUCCUAUUUCAUGACCCUCCUCCUGGUUGUUACAUUCACUUGUUGCACCUGGUCUUAAACUAGAUAGAAAGACAUGGUCCAUACCCGAAAGAGCUUACGGUUUAUACAGUAAAAGAACGACACCCACUCUACUCCCCUGGAAGUCAAUGAGAGUUUUGCUGUUGACACUGAUAGGAGCAAGACCAGGUCAUAAAAGCAGCAUAUUCAAAAUUAUACUGACAGGUACACCUUCUCGUCUGCUGAAUAAUUCAUGCCUUUAAUUUUAGUCCUUUCCCUCAUGUGGGCAGUCUAUCAACAAUAAAUCUAGUCACACCACCUAAAUUAUAAGAUGAGAAAUAUAUGUGAGUAUUCCUACUUUAUAAAUACUCCCUCCCCUGGGCAAAAAAAUCAGCUCUCCAGUCAGAGAAAAGAACAUCAAUGCUAUGUGCAGCAACAUAAUGAGAGAGUAAAGGGUUCAUAAACCGUCUCUGAAUAAAUAGGUUCACUUUUUUUCCUUUUAGGUAUUUGUUUACUCAAAUAUUCUUCACUGACUUGGUCUUUAUUUUCAGAACUAAGUUAAACCUCUAGAGGCCAUGACAGGUCAAACAAGGACUUUCAUCACAGAGAUGAUAUCAAGCAACCCUUGAAGACUAUGUUCAUGUCGAUAAUCAACAUAAGAGUCCUUAUUGAAUCGCUGUUUGCAAAGGUGCUAAAAAGAAUGAUGCAUUCUGAGGAAUCUGUGAUCAGCACAUUAUAGGAUAUUCUCAUCCGCUUCCAUGAUGAGAUUUUAUUUACAUUUUUAAAGAUUAUUAUUAAUUCACACAGAAAAUUACCAUACAAACUCUUAAGGCAGCAUAACCAGCCCUCAAUAGGAAGGAAAUUAGAGCGCUCACCGUAUUCUUAACUGACUUCUGAUAUCCAAAUCUUACAACAAAUGUGGUACAAUAACAUCAUGCAGUAAUCUUAUUCAUUAGAUUUAGUGAACGGGGUAGAUGUAGUAAAUCUGCAUUGAUAGAUGCUUUUGUGUGUUCAAACAUGAAAGUUAUAUUAAGAAAAGGAUGAAACUGAAUAAAAAAGGUUUCUAAACUUCUCACCUUUUUACUUCUGUUCAGUUCCAUCAAGCUACAUUUUUUCUGGUUCUAAAAUUAACACAUCCCUGCCUCUCAUAACUAAAAGCAUAUGCUAGUGCCAUUUCAGCAUACUGGGAGACCAGCAAUACCAAGAUAAUGGUAAGAAUCUUUUAAAUUUAGUAAAUAAAACGAAGAGGUAUAGUUAAAAGAGGCCAUUAGCAAGUCCCUCUUCUAGAUCUGUCACUAAACUGCCUGCUCCAAAAUAAAGAGUCCAUACAUAUUGGGUUUGAACAUCAUGAUUGAAUAACAUUGUGUAUUUUAUUGAUAAAAACAUUAUGCAUAAUUCAAAUAUAAUUUUUUCUAGUAGUCAUGGAAAAAAUGAUUCACUUAGCUUGAAUAGGUCUGUAUGCAUAAGAAUGACUCAGUAAAUACAGUCCACUAAAAAGAGGCCAGAAAGAAAGAAACACAGUGCCCCUAAUUUAUAUAAUCCAAAAGAAACACAGUAGUCCUAUGUAAUCACAUGACUCCAGGUGCUGGGGUUUCAAGAAAAACAACAGAUGUAGUGAGAAUCAUCAUAAAAUUCUGAGAAGUGACAGUACUGGAAAGAGGCUACCACAGAGCCUCUUCUAGAGCUGUUACCCUUGCAAGUUCUGUUUGAAACACAUUUGUCAAGUCUUUGUCAGAGCUGGUUUACGCUCCUUGAAGUUCAGAAAGGUUCCUGUUUGAAUGAAACCAGUUUUAUUUUGUACACUUAUAACUGAGAGACAACAAGCAAGGACCGAGAGGUUCAUGUCAGUUUGCUAAAACCAAAAAUGGACCUUUGGCAAACACAUUUCCUCUUCUGAACCUGUGAUCCAAAAUAUAAAAGUAAUAAUGAUAACACCCUGCAAUUACAGAAAAUAAUGAUGUACUUGGGCCACUGGCAUGACAAGGCUAUUCUGCAUACUUGUGAUCCAAGAAGGAAGUAAGAAAUAGCUAAAAGUCUAUGGUUAAGGCUCACAUUCUGAAAGACGACAGGAUUACAUAGAUAAGUAUUGCUCACUAUAAGCAUCCAGGGUUGCAGCAUCUACCCCUAAGAAAGUAAUAAUAAAAUACCAGAAAGAUGCUCCCUUCCCAUCAUUAUUUGAACAGACUUGGAUAUCAUCGGUAGGGAGCUGACUGUGGUGGAGAGAGCAUGGAAUGUGAGAGAGGAGGUGUGAUAUAUGAAGGGGGAGGGGGUGGGAAGUAGCUCCCUUUGAUAGACACCCAGCCAGCCAGUUAGCUGUAAAAUCCCUCUUGGUCUGUUCUCUGCUUGCUUUACUUGUAAAGGGUUAACAAGCCCUCAGGUAAAAGAAAAGGAGUGAGCACCUGACCAAAAGAGCCAAUGGGAAGGUAGAACUUUUUAAAAUUGGGAAAGAAACUUUCCCUUUGUCUGUUGUUCUCUGGGCUGCAGGGACACGGAUCAGUAAUGCUGUAACCAGCUUUAAGCCAGGUAUGAUUAUAGAGUAUCAACUCAUACCUCGAACCUACUUAUCUGGAGCCUCAGAUAUGUAAGUAAAAUUAGAGAAUGUCGAAAAAGACAUGAUUUGGGUUAUUUCUUUUAUUUCUUAUUGGCUUGUGGACUCCUCUGUGCUAACCCUAGAUGCUUUUGUUUGCUUGUAACCUUUAAGCUGAUCCCCCCAAGAAAGCUAUUUUGGGUGCUCGAUUUUUGGAAUUGCUCUUUUAAAAUCUAGCAACAGCCUAAGUUCCAGAUGUAUUUUCUUUCUUUUUGUUUUUAAUAAAAUUUACCUUUUUUAAGAACAGGAUUGGAUUUUUGGUAUCCUAAGAGGUUUGUGCAUAUGCUGUUUGAUUAGUUGGUGGCAACCACUAAUUUCCUUUGUUUUCUCUCUCAGCUCUUCCCCGGAGGGGAAGGUGAAAGGGCUUGAGGGUACCCCACAGGGAGGAAUUCCCAAGUGCUCCUUCCUGGGUACAAGGUUGUUGGGAGUUUUUUGUCUUUGGGUGGUGGCAGCGUUUACCAAGCCAAGGUCAGAGAAAAGCUGUAACCUUGGGAGUUUAAUACAAGCCUGGAAUGGCAAGUAUUAAUUUUUAGAAUCCUUGUGGGCCCCCACCUUGUGCACCUGGAGUGACAGAGUGGGGAUUCAACCUUGACAGGAGGCCACAGUGCCUAAUAGAGGAGCCGGCAGCUGAUAAGAGUUUUAUUACAGAAUUAUGUAACAAAGACUGGCAUUGUAAAGGCAAUUUCAUAUUAGUUUGUUCCUUUAGUUCUCAACAACUGUUAGUCCACAUCACAUAACUACGUAUUUCUGAGUUUGUGAGAACAUGUAUGGUUCCCCUGCAGGCAGUGCAGCUGCAGGUCACAUGCAAGAAAAGUCCCAAAUAAGAAAUGACAACUUUUUCCCCCCUCUCAUAUCUGUGAUUCUUAGCACACCUUACUGACUUGCAAUAAGGUACUUCAGAGUGCACUGAACUGAUUGUCAGAGCUACGUCAUGGCUAAAAAGUAACAGCCAAGCUAAGAGGAAACGUUUGUGUUAGAUUUGUUUGUUGUUUUAUUUAUGUUAAUUAUAAAGGCAAGCCCCAGGGAUAGCAUGAGUAUGAACGAUAUUCAGUCUUAGGUUUCAGAGUGGUAGCCGUGUUAGUCUGUAUUAGCAAAAAGAACGAGGAGUACUUGUGGCACCUUAGAGACUAACAAAUUUAUUUGGGCACAGAUAUUCAUCAGGUAUUUGGGCAUACCCACUUCAUCAGAUGCAUGGAGUGGAAAAUACAGUCGGAAGAUAUAUACACACACACAGAGAACAUGAAAAGAUGGGGGUUCCCUUACCAACGCUAACAAGACAAAUCAAUUAAGGUGAGCUAUUAUCAGCAGGAGAAAAAAAACUUUUGUAGUGAUAAUCAGGAUGGCCCAUUUCAAACAGUUGACAAGAAGGUGUGAGUAACAGUAGGUGGCGGGAAUUAGCAUGGGAAAUAGUUUUUAGUUUGUGUAAUGACCCAUCCACUCUCAGUCUUUAUUCAAGCCUAAUUUGAUGGUGUCCAGUUUGCAGAUUAAUUCCAGUUCUGCAGUUUCUUGUUGGAGUCUGUUUUUGAAGUUUUUUUGUUGAAGAGUUGGCACUUUUAGGUCUGUAAUCAAGUGUUCAGGGAGGUUGAAGUGUUAUCAGUGUGCACACUGUGAGGAGGUGGGUGUGAAUGCCACCUGCUUAUAUCCAGGUGCUUCACUUUAAAAAGCAACAAGGAAAGGAAAAAUUAGAUAUUUUGUUUGUUUUAGUACUCUGCUGAAGAUUGCAGGACCAUCUUUUGUCACACAUAAUGCAAAAGGUAAGAAUGUGACACAGAAAGACUUAUUGGACUCUUUAGUAUGACAUUAGCAAUUACCAAAGUAAAGCUCCAAUAAACUUUUGGGAUGGCUGAAAUCCUGACACCUGCUCUAGCCCCUUUAGAUUGGAUAAAAGGGCUGGAGCAGCAUGAAGGUGCACUAAUGGUAUUCCUAUAUUGCAAUGUAAGCCUGGACUUGUGCCUGGGCUCAAGGCAACGCCCCCUUGCAUCUACACUGCAACUGCACUAACCCAUGGUUCAGACCCAGGACCCUGUUGGGUCUGAGCUCAAGUCAAGCCAGGACUUAGGGUCUGAGCCGUAUUGCUUUGUAGUGUAGAUGAGGCCUCGGCUUGACUUAGCUCCCGGGAGUCAUCCGAAAGUAUCCACAAUUCCUUGGGGCAACUUCCUUAGUUCUCUCUAUGCCCACAAUCUACAAUGCACUCUAUUAAAAACAGUGCUGCUUCUUGGUCAUGCGAGCACAGCUAAAUUUUGGUGAAUCUGUGGUGUGAGGCCAGUAAAACUGUGGACUUCAGCAAAAGCACCAGGAGUGACCACGCUUACCAGCAGAUAGCUAAAAAUCUGGCAGCUCUGCAGAUUUUCCGGACAGGUGAUCAGUGCGGGAGUGAAUACAGGAAGACAAGGGAUAAGAAUCAUACCUCAGGUAACUCAGAGCAGCAUGCCUAUUUUAUGAUGACCUUGACUGGGUCCUAGGCACUGCCCCAGCACAGAGCUAACCUUGCUUCAUGAUGACCUGGUGAUCUGGGAUGGCCCUGAAUCAAGAAUGGGGAGUGAUAGAAGCCAGAGGCCAUGGGACUGAUGAGAUCCCAGCCAGAAUCAUGAAAAGACUCUUUUAAUGAAACCAAUCCCAGAGCAGGCUGUGGAUCAGGAUCAACAGCAAAUUCUCAGUCCCUACUCAGAAGAGUUGUUUGAUCCACGUCCCACAAUGAGGAAUAGCCAGCUGCUGAGCCUGCAGAGAACCCAGUGGGGACAGAAGCUGCCCCAGAACUGGUAAGUGCAUGAUUCAAAUAAAAAGUUUAUUAUUACAGUAAUGGAAGGGAUUUCUGCUUUAAGAGGCAAUGCAAAAAUGGUAAGCCCCAGCUACCAGCAUUUGGCCACUAAUGGUGGAUUAUAUCACAGAGCCUAGGCAUCCCUUCCCUCUCCGUCUCCCCAACCCUCCACCAGGGGUAGUUCAAAAUGGCAACGUGGAAUUUCAAACUUUCAUACACAGCUGUAAAGUACGUUUGCUACAGUCAUUCUUGUUUUCCUUUCAGUAAUUAGAAAUUUGCCAUUCUGCAAUCAUUUCUCCUGGAUAUAUGCAGCUACCUGUAAACAGUGAAGAGUGUGUGUGUAUGUGUGUGUAACAGUAUUCUAUUUCCAAAUCUAGUCCAUUGCAGAGGUAAUCCAUGCAGAGGUGGAGUAAAGCUGCAGAUUUCAGAGAGUUUUGCAUUCAUCAAUAACAAGGACCCUCAGCCUAUACUGCCUGCUGUUCUAAGUUCAGGAACUUGAUCCUUGGCCCAACAUGGACUCACGGACCAUUCCAAAAGGAAGUGUUCCCAUGAUGAAGUUAUGGCUGAUGCUCUUGAGAGGGCAGACCAGCAGGUCCAGUACCAGAAGAAGAAGGAUGAAAGACUGGAAUAAUGGCAUGCUGACAGGCAGGAGGCAAGGCUGAGGCUUGCCAUCCAGGUGGAGAACAGGGUUUCAUCAAGGCAGCUGGUACUUGCAAAGCAGUUCCUGGAACAGGAACAGUGGCUAGAGGAGGACAGAGCUCUGCGGAGAGAACUGUUUCAGCAAGUCCUGUCUACAAUGGCUGCAAGAACACUGGCUCCUGCUGCCUCCCCAUAGCCUGAUGCCCCAGCAACAUACCCUCCACCCAGCAGUAGCUUGGACAACUCCAUAUCGGGGCAGCCCAUGAAUUCAGGACUCUUGAGCAGCUGGGCAGGGCAGCUAAAUACUGUGCAGCUUCCCUUCCUUUCGUCCACUCCUCUUGGAUGGAAACUUCCAGCCCCACCCCCAUUGCAAAGUGAGGGGUAAAUGUGUAAAGAAGAGAAAGGAGAACCUGGGACCAGGGGCAUCGGAUUGGGUAUUAACUCUUUCCUGACCUUUCUUUUUGGGUGUGUGGUUUUGUAAGGGCAGCUGGCUUGCACAAGACUGUGUGAGCGGUUUAGUGUUUUAAGAGCUGUUUACAAAUAAAGUAUGUUAUAUUUUCAAGAAA